AUUGAACGCUGGCGGCAGGCCUAACACAUGCAAGUCGAGCGGAUGAAGGGAGCUUGCUCCUGGAUUCAGCGGCGGACGGUUGAGUAAUGCCUAGGAAUCUGCCUGGUAGUGGGGGAUAACGUCCGGAAACGGGCGCUAAUACCGCAUACGUCCUGAGGGAGAAAGUGGGGGAUCUUCGGACCUCACGCUAUCAGAUGAGCCUAGGUCGGAUUAGCUAGUUGGUGGGGUAAAGGCCUACCAAGGCGACGAUCCGUAACUGGUCUGAGAGGAUGAUCAGUCACACUGGAACUGAGACACGGUCCAGACUCCUACGGGAGGCAGCAGUGGGGAAUAUUGGACGAUGGGCGAAAGCCUGAUCCAGCCAUGCCGCGUGUGUGAAGAAGGUCUUCGGAUUGUAAAGCACUUUAAGUUGGGAGGAAGGGCAGUAAGUUAAUACCUUGCUGUUUUGACGUUACCAACAGAAUAAGCACCGGCUAACUUCGUG
RNAcentral lists this ribosomal RNA (484 nucleotides) under uncultured bacterium. RNAcentral describes it as "partial 16S ribosomal RNA". It matches the Rfam family "Bacterial small subunit ribosomal RNA", at positions 30 to 507 of the family's 1533-position model. The record is from RNAcentral.